RNAcentral lists this microRNA precursor (77 nucleotides) under Dryobates pubescens (Downy woodpecker). RNAcentral's name for it is "Picoides pubescens (downy woodpecker) mir-17 microRNA precursor family". It matches the Rfam family "mir-17 microRNA precursor family". From Rfam's summary of the family: This family represents the microRNA (miRNA) precursor mir-17, family, which includes mir-20, mir-91, and mir-103. miRNAs are transcribed as ~70nt precursors (modelled here) and subsequently processed by the Dicer enzyme to give a ~22nt product. In this case the mature sequence comes from the 3' arm of the precursor. The record is from Rfam by way of RNAcentral. Lineage: Eukaryota; Metazoa; Chordata; Aves; Piciformes; Picidae.
UGAGUUGUGCAAAAGUGCUUACAGUGCAGGUAGAGGCCUAGGAUCUACUGCAGUAUAAGCACUUCUGGCAUUACUGU